RNAcentral lists this ribosomal RNA (253 nucleotides) under uncultured bacterium. RNAcentral's name for it is "partial 16S ribosomal RNA". It matches the Rfam family "Bacterial small subunit ribosomal RNA", at positions 524 to 776 of the family's 1533-position model. The record is from RNAcentral.
UACGUAGGGUGCAAGCGUUAAUCGGAAUUACUGGGCGUAAAGCGUACGCAGGCGGCUAUGUAAGACAGGUGUGAAACCCCCGGGCCUAACCUGGGAACUGCAUUUGUGACUGCAUCGCUGGAGUGCGGCAGAGGGGGAUGGAAUUCCGCGUGUAGCAGUGAAAUGCGUAGAUAUGCGGAGGAACACCGAUGGCGAAGGCAAUCCCCUGGGCCUGCACUGACGCUCAUGCACGAAAGCGUGGGGAGCAAACAGG